Molecule: long non-coding RNA, 297 nt
Organism: Lacerta agilis (Sand lizard)
Lineage: Eukaryota; Metazoa; Chordata; Lepidosauria; Squamata; Lacertidae
Exons: 2
Source: RefSeq, a predicted model, not a curated record
CUGAGUAGACAGUUGGGGCAUAGAGGAGGCAAAGGAUAAUGUCUCUGUUCCUGGAUCCUUGAAACAUCAAGGAAAAUGUCACGACGUAGAGAUAGCACAUAUGCCAGCAAGAGGAUCUCUCGUAGAGGCUCUACCGGAGGGAGGAGCAGGAGAUGCAAGUCAGGUGCAGAUAUGCCAAUUAAAAAAAGGAAAGGGUAUGUCCGCGUCUGUGCAGUAUACUAUUACUGGAAAGGAAGAAAAUAAUUCCCAGUGAUUCCCUUUCCAUUGCUUAGAAAUUCCAUCUUCUGCAUUGGUGAA